This 84-nucleotide transfer RNA is filed under the name Mycobacterium sp. 852002-51971_SCH5477799-a. RNAcentral's name for it is "tRNA-Tyr". It matches the Rfam family "tRNA". From Rfam's summary of the family: Transfer RNA (tRNA) molecules are approximately 80 nucleotides in length. Their secondary structure includes four short double-helical elements and three loops (D, anti-codon, and T loops). The record is from RNAcentral. Lineage: Bacteria; Bacillati; Actinomycetota; Actinomycetes; Mycobacteriales; Mycobacteriaceae.
GGCAGGUUGCCCGAGCGGCCAAUGGGAGCGGACUGUAAAUCCGUCGCGAAAGCUUCACAGGUUCGAAUCCUGUACCUGCCACCC